AACGAACGCUGGCGGCAUGCCUAACACAUGCAAGUCGAACGAGACCUUCGGGUCUAGUGGCGCACGGGUGCGUAACGCGUGGGAACCUGCCCUUAGGUUCGGAAUAACUCCCCGAAAGGGGUGCUAAUACCGGAUAAUGUCUUCGGACCAAAGAUUUAUCGGCUUUGGAUGGGCCCGCGUUGGAUUAGCUAGUUGGUAGGGUAAAAGCCUACCAAGGCGACGAUCCAUAGCUGGUCUGAGAGGAUGAUCAGCCACACUGGGACUGAGACACGGCCCAGACUCCUACGGGGAGCAGCAGUGGGGAAUAUUGGACAAUGGGCGAAAGCCUGAUCCAGCAAUGCCGCGUGAGUGAUGAAGGCCUUAGGGUUGUAAAGCUCUUUUACCCGGGAUGAUAAUGACAGUACCGGGAGAAUAAGCUCCGGCUAACUCCGUG
RNAcentral lists this ribosomal RNA (433 nucleotides) under uncultured bacterium. Its description in RNAcentral is "partial 16S ribosomal RNA". It matches the Rfam family "Bacterial small subunit ribosomal RNA", at positions 29 to 507 of the family's 1533-position model. The record is from RNAcentral.